Molecule: non-coding RNA, 85 nt
Organism: Platichthys flesus (European flounder)
Lineage: Eukaryota; Metazoa; Chordata; Actinopteri; Pleuronectiformes; Pleuronectidae
Source: the annotation of a RefSeq genome assembly
GUUAUUGUGGCCGAGUGGUUAAGGCGAUGCACUAGAAAUCCAUUGGGGUUUUUUUCCCGCGCAGGUUCAAAUCCUGCCAGCAACG